AAACAGUCUUCAGGAUUUAACUUGUCUGUACGGUAAGAGCUAUCUUUUCUCUGUUUCUCCAAUGCCCGGCAGGGGGCAGUCGGGAAAUGUCUGAAGAAGGGACGGGUAGUGGGAGGAAACGACACCCCUCAGCACUUCUGCAAGGGGCCUGGAUUUUGGUCCCUCAUUCCGAGAAAGAACUUAUGCCCCCUUUCCGCAGUUGAGAGUGGGAUGCACUCCUCCCAUGCAGAGCUUUUUAUGCAGCCCUGCGGAGAUGCCCGAGGAGGAGCAGCGCAUUCUCGGGACACGGUGGCCGCGCUGUCGCCUUGCAACCGCCUCUGGUCCAAACGUUCACGCCGAGCUGCCCGGAGCAAAGAGCCCCGCAGGCCGCCCGCCAUCGGGCUCCCAUGCUGCCUUCCCCCUGCCUUCCCCACCUGCUGGUGUGGGGUCUGCGCCCGCCAAGGUGGCAUGUGCACUUGGGCAUUUGCUGUUGCGGUGGUUAGUCACUGGAAAUGUGCCUGGAAGGUAAAGUUUAGGAGCGAAUUUACGUGGCGCGGACGCUGCAGUCAGGGGGCAAUUCUCCGUUGCCCUCGCUCGCGCCUAGCGCUCUCCUCCUGCGUCUGGCUCCCCAUGAUCCGGACUGUUGUUUUUAGAAGCUGAAAAUCAAGCCGGAUAUUACAGCCAACCUGUAAUGGGUGGGGAUGAGAAGAACUGAAAUCGGAGGAGACGCUCUUCUUUUGUGGCUUUAAACGUUGGCGUUUUCAACUAUUUUUACCAAGUCCUUUCGGUGGCAAGUCCUCUCGGUUCCUCUACACCUGGCUUUGAAAACUCAGGCCCAUCCUUCUUUCACAGUUGCCUCAGGUUUCCUUGGCUCCACAAUGAACACAGAGCAGCAGGCUUAACUGUGAGCCAGUAACAGUAUAUGGAGAAUUUUUCACAGCCUGUCUCUUAGAGGUACUUUGUCAGGAAAGAGCAUAUUUUCCUCCCCGGAAGUGCACAGCCUGCACCUAAUGGAACUGUCAGUCAAGCCUCUUCUGUCACAGAGCUGGGCACAAGCUCUGGGCUGGCCAAUCAGAGCAUCCAGGGCCACUAGAUGCAAAGGAUUUGGGUACAGAUGGGAAAAUACUGCAACUUGGGUGUUUAAAGACUGAUUUGGGAGCUGGGAAAGAUGCUGUCUCUCCCCUGAGAUUGAGGGCACAAAGAACUAGCUAAGCUUGGAGCUGUUGGUGUCCUCUUUGCUGUCAUGUGGGGUGAGCCUACCUGAGAAUGAGGGCAAUAGUGAGGAAAACAACAGAAAACUGAAGUGGUGGUGGAAAGAAAGAAGAAAGGGGGAAAAUUGAUGUUGUUUAAACUCCUGAACGUAGCUAUACUUCAACUAAAUUCAAACGUUUUUCUUUUAGUUUAUGUAAGCCAAUGAAUUACCAUUUUUUCCUGUUAGUUUCAAUUAUCAGGAUUGAGUCCUAUGUAACCCAAAAUGUCCCUUUGUUUAAAUGAAUGUUGAUAGUUGCAAUAAAAGUCUGGUGAUUAUGGUGACAGUUCAGUUUAACUCCACAGCUAUCAGUAGAAUAUAAAUACUUUCUCCCUAUCUUCACUGGCUUUUGAAAGAAACCCUUCUGCAAUUUCCCACAAUUAAUACGUAAACUAGGGAUACCUGAAUUCCUUUCCUGGGCUCCCGAUAGUACUUUGCCUUCAGCUCUUCUGUCUUCUGAAUGAAGAGACGAUACCCACCUGGCUGUGAAUAAACUCCCUGCUUCACAGCUCUUUCUAGGGGACUGAAAAGAUCCUGAAGUAAAGCUGAGCAACGAUCCAGUGAUGCCUCCAAGUUCUGUUGAUAAAAGUCAUCCUGUUUUGCUUCUAGCUGGGUCUUCAAAGGGACAAAUGUUCAUGGAAAAGAUGACAGCAACACUUCAGUAUCUCUAGAAAUGAUGCUCAAAGAGAAUCUCUGUAUUGUUUCUAGAAACUACAAGACUCCAAGCAAGACUAUAUCCUUUCUACCAAACCUAGAAAAGUUCCAAGGAUGAUACAUGCUAGAAAAAAUGGCUUUACUUUUGUGUUUGAAAUCUCCUGAAACCCCUUUCUCUUGCUACUUCUGCUUUAGAUGUGCUCUUCAGACCACAGGUCUCUAGGCUCAUGCCCAAAUAUUAAAACACAACCUAUGGUUUUACAACCAUUCCUGGUUCAGUAUUAUAUUGGGCCUGGGAUUCCCAAUAAGGAGGUGAAAUGGAAUAAUUAGCUAGAAUGACAUGAGUGUAUGCUAUUAAACUGGAGGCAUAAUCUUUUUGUAGAUCCAUCUGGUAAUUCUGUAUGCUUGAUUAAUAAAAAAGGAAAGUUAAUUAAUACUUUAUGAAUACAAUUUUUUAAGGAACAAGAUUACUUUUAAGAAAUUAGUCCAUGGAUGUAACAUGGUAAGAUGUGUUGUGUGUGUGUGAAAGUUUCAAAAUCUAUAGGGGCCAGAGUAGUUGCAUGUUUAUUUGUUUGUUUGUUUUUCAAAUAAAAGUGAUAUCUUGAUCAUA
Equus caballus (horse) is the source of this 2492-nucleotide long non-coding RNA. RefSeq lists it as uncharacterized. NCBI's taxonomy places the organism in Eukaryota, Metazoa, Chordata, Mammalia, Perissodactyla, Equidae. The record is from RefSeq and is a predicted model, not a curated record.